UCCCACUAUAUCUCUGUCUCAACAUCUUCCCGUGUCCCGCUCUGCUUGGCUCUAAUGGAUGGAUGGCUGCUUCAAUCUCCAGGAAAAGCUUCAAAAGGGAGAGUGUCAGGGGCCAGGAGGGGUGUGGAGCUGGAGGACAGCAGGCAGGGGACCAAUGUUGGAUUGUUCCGGAGAGCCGAGUGGAAUGAGAGAGGGAGAAAGAGAGAGAGGAGGGUGUGUCGAAGGUCUGGAGGCAGGUAGAGGGUAUUUCAUCGCUGAAACAUCUCUGCAUCACAAAGUCUGACAGAUAGAACUGUCACUGACAGAAAUUCAUUCUCAGCUCUCCACUGCAUUUAAGAACUUUACUCCCAUCCAGUGGAAUGGCAGAAGACUUGUGCUUAGGAGGCAAGCAUGCUUAUGAUGUUGUAAUCAUUUGUCCCCUAAUAUUUGGGAACAAACAUCAGUGUUUGUCAAUGAAGCUUUCCUUGGAAGUGCUAAUUGGAUCUGGGAUUUCCGUUUUCUACACUCAAAUUAACUGAUGCAUCAAAAUGAUACUCAACUUGAAACAUUUCUGCCUCAUGAGAGAAAUGUCUUUCAAAACCAGUCAAGAAAAAGAAGACUUUUAAAGUCAAAUUUCAAAGACUUGUUGUCAAAGGUUUUAAAUUAACAUAGCAAUCAGGCAAAUUCAAAACUAUGCACAUUUUAGAACACUAGAUCAGAAGUCUGAGGAGGCUAAAGAUGAUUCAUAAUAACAGGAUGU
Molecule: long non-coding RNA, 739 nt
Filed under: Danio rerio (zebrafish)
Lineage: Eukaryota; Metazoa; Chordata; Actinopteri; Cypriniformes; Danionidae
Description: lncRNA (ENSDARG00000117470.1)
Source: RNAcentral